GAUAAACGCUGGCGGCGCACAUAAGACAUGCAAGUCGAACGGAAGUCCUUAUAAAAAGGAUUGAAGAUUUAUCUGAUUGAGAUUUUAUAACAAUGGCUUUAGUGGCGGACUGGUGAGUAACGCGUGAGCAACCUGCCUACUAGAGGGGAAUAACAGUGAGAAAUCAUUGCUAAUACCGCAUAUGCCAUGAACAUCACAUGAUGAAAAUGGGAAAAGAGUAAUCUGCUAGUAGAUGGGCUCGCGUCUGAUUAGAUAGUUGGUGGGGUAACGGCCUACCAAGUCAACGAUCAGUAGCCGGACUGAGAGGUUGAACGGGCCACAUUGGGACUGAGAUACGGCCCAGACUCCUACGGGAGGCAGCAGUCGGGAAUAUUGCGCAAAUGGAGGAAACUCUGACGCAGUGACGCCGCGUAUAGGAAGAAGGUUUUCGGAUUGGUAAAACU
This 443-nucleotide ribosomal RNA is filed under the name uncultured bacterium. Its description in RNAcentral is "bacterial SSU rRNA". It matches the Rfam family "Bacterial small subunit ribosomal RNA", at positions 28 to 431 of the family's 1533-position model. The record is from RNAcentral.